AAUAAAUGCAGUUUUACACUAUUUAUGUCUAACAUUUGACCGUUCGUCUUAUUUAAAAAAAAUUUUACGAUUAAUAUUUUUGUUGUUAUUAGAUGAUAAAACAUGAAUAAUACUUUAUGUGCGACUAACUUUUUUAAAAUUUUUCAUAAAUUUUUUAAAUAAGACGGACGGUUAAACAUUAGACACAGAUUCCCACGACUGCACUUAUU
Molecule: non-coding RNA, 209 nt
Organism: Oryza glumipatula
Lineage: Eukaryota; Viridiplantae; Streptophyta; Magnoliopsida; Poales; Poaceae
Source: Rfam